UGUGGACAGUGGGGACCUAGAAAUAAUUUUUUAAUAUUUCAAAAAAAUUUUAUUCAAUUUGAAAAGUUAAGGGACUUAAAAGUAAUUUUAAAUUCAUCCAGAGAUCUAUAGAUAAUUUUUUUUAUUUAUUUUUUAAAAAUACUAAUAUUAUUUUUAAAAAUAUUUUCCUAUAUACUUAUCCUUUACUUACUUCCUAUCUAUUAUCCAUUUUAACCUUGGAUUUGUGAAGUAUAAUUAUGUUAAAAUAUUCUUGCAGUCUCCGAACAAAAUUGUACCAUGCCCAAGAGCCAGCCUUUGUUCUCUUUCCAUGAAUUGCCCAUAUGGUCCCAUGGCUUCUUGGUACGAGCAUAUCCUUGUGUCCUC
Molecule: long non-coding RNA, 363 nt
Filed under: Elaeis guineensis (African oil palm)
Lineage: Eukaryota; Viridiplantae; Streptophyta; Magnoliopsida; Arecales; Arecaceae
Description: long non-coding RNA (EGUI_LNC077993)
Source: RNAcentral